GGGGCUAUAGCUCAAUUGGGAGAGCGUCUGGUUUGCAACCAGAAGGUUACCGGUUCGAUCCCGGUUAGCUCCA
This 73-nucleotide transfer RNA is filed under the name Bacteroidota bacterium. RNAcentral describes it as "tRNA-Ala". It matches the Rfam family "tRNA". From Rfam's summary of the family: Transfer RNA (tRNA) molecules are approximately 80 nucleotides in length. Lineage: Bacteria; Pseudomonadati; Bacteroidota. The record is from RNAcentral.